GCUCGCGUAGCUCAGUUGGUUAGAGCGUCGUACUAAUAAUGCGAAGGUCGUAGGUUCAAUCCCUGCCGUGAGCA
RNAcentral lists this transfer RNA (74 nucleotides) under Beauveria bassiana. RNAcentral's name for it is "tRNA-Leu". It matches the Rfam family "tRNA". From Rfam's summary of the family: Transfer RNA (tRNA) molecules are approximately 80 nucleotides in length. Their secondary structure includes four short double-helical elements and three loops (D, anti-codon, and T loops). The record is from RNAcentral. RNAcentral also lists the same sequence under 1 other name. Lineage: Eukaryota; Fungi; Ascomycota; Sordariomycetes; Hypocreales; Cordycipitaceae.